UUGUUUACGGAGGUAGUGCUUGGACCCUUGUUUAAUCAAAUAAACAGCUGUUUGAAAAUGUAGUUUGAAAAUGUUACACCAGAUGUCGGCACUGAUUAGACUUACGCUUAUACCUCUUGUAUACAAGAUUUUUACCACUUUUAG
Molecule: long non-coding RNA, 144 nt
Organism: Nilaparvata lugens (brown planthopper)
Lineage: Eukaryota; Metazoa; Arthropoda; Insecta; Hemiptera; Delphacidae
Exons: 3
Source: RefSeq, a predicted model, not a curated record